GAGGAAGAAGCAGGCUCCUAGCAGAGGAGCCUGAUGUGGGGCUUGAUCCCAGAACGCUGGGAUCACACCCUGAGCCGAAGGCAGAUGCUUAACGACUGCGACACCCAGACGCCCCAAGACUGAUGUAAUUCUUAUUCCAGUUUGUCUAGAGACAGCCAGCGAGAGAGGGAACACAGCAGAGGAGUGGGAGAGAAAGAAGCAGGCUCCCAGCGGAGGAGCCGGAUGUGGGACUCGAUUCCGGAACCCCGGGAUCACGCCCCGAGCCGAAGGCAGACGCUUAACAACUGUGCCACCCAGGCGCCCAAGAUUUUCCUAAAGACUUCUUAAAUAGGGUCUGACGUUUGCUUUUUUUUUUCUUUUCUCCCCUGUAAUCAGCUGUUCUUAUACAGGAGCCCUACUGAUGUGGUGGUGAGAUAGGAGGAACAGUGAGCAUUCUAUGGUCCUUCGAUGAGGUCUCGUUCUUUCCAUGAGCCUGAGCUGGAUAUUUCUCUCCCUCCCAGGUUUUGGUAAAGCCCCAGUUGGUGAGACUCUGAUAAAUAAUUUCUCUUGAGGGCAGGCCUUGUUAAUGAGAAUAGAAUGUUUUCCCUUCCUGCUGUUGGAAGCAAUAGGGGACUUUUUUUCAGAUCUUCACAGUGAGAACUUGGCAGGAUUCUUGGAGUUAAAACUCACAAAAAUGUGACGAUACUCCUAAAAGUGGAUCCCAUUAGAGUUUCUGAUUUUUAAGCUCAUCUACACUGAGCCUCUAGCAAUUAGUCAGUUAUAGCUUAAUGUGUCUUACAAAUAUUGGCUCCAACUGCAGGCUUCUCCUUUUGGGCUUCUGCUCUGGGUGAGCUGUGAUUUCUUUUGUAUUUGCCUAUCUCUCUCUCCAGUUUUCGGGAUGGCUGUUUGCCUUGUGACCUCAAUUUUCUGAUGGCUCUAACAAGACUUGUUGAUUGUUAGUUUGCUCAGCUUUUUUUUCUUGUUGUGAAGAUGGUAGUGAUGACUUCUAACCACUUUACAUGUUGGACUGGAAACAAGAAAUUAGCCUUUUGCAGUACAUCUUAGUUUGGGGACUGGGAUUACCUGCUAUAGACUGGUGUCUGCAAGUACUGUCAGAAACUCCCUGGCAGCUAUUUACUUCCCAAAAGGGACUCCUACACCCAGUUUAUAGGAACCUAAGGCAGAAGGUAGAUUGAUCUGGACCUCAUCUGUACAUGAUAAAUGUGUAAGGAAAAUAGCAACACAAUCUUGAGAUGAAAUUUGGGUCUCCUAUCACUGACCAGGCUCCUUGGGCAAAUUGGGAAUUUUUUGGGGGGGGUGUCUGAGGACAUCCUCUUGUGUUCCACUAGAGCAUAGUUCGAGAGUAAAAGUUAGGCUGAGUGCUGGAAUGAUGGCCUAGUGUCCCCCUGCCUGCCUAGCGCCCCCAACCAUUUGCAAUGGUUGACAUGCAUGGAGGAAGAGCCUUUCAUGGGAGAAAUUAUUUGGGGCAGAUUUCUGGGAGAAAAUGGAAUAUACCACUUGUUCCCAAGGUAGGACACAGGAAAGAUGUCUGACUUCCAGGGAGACCGUGGGUAAAAGAUAAAAAGACCACAUUUGUGUGAAUCCAGGACAGGAGCAGGGCUGCUGUAGGGCCCACAUGACAAAAUGAAACUCAGAGUCAGGAAUAGAGUGGUCAGCGAGGUGGCCCCCCCAUGCUUUGCAGAUGUUUUAUGGGUGCAGCACAGUUGGGUUGGUCUGGUGAUACCGUUGGGAGGAAGAAAACUAUUUUCUGCUGUAGGAGUCUGGCAAGAUGCCACCAUGAGGGGUGCAUGGAGGACAGACUACAAGCAGACCUGUUUCUGAGUGUGGGGGCUGGUCUCGGGUCAUUUGCAUUCGAGCAGGAGGCUAGUUAUGUGGGUGAGUCCUCCCGUGAUGAUGAGGGUUUGGAGGCUGUGUGAAGUGGAGAAUACUUUUGAGUAGGCGAGUGUUUCCUUCUCACUAUAUCACAGAAGAGGCCUCUUUCAUGACUCUGGUUAUUCUAGCUCUAAUACCUCUACCUGCCUUUUUGUUUAAGAGCUGAGUCAGAGGGGUCCCCAAAGACCAGGCUUUCUUCCCUCUGCUGACAGCUUCCUAAGGGCAUCGGUCUAUUCAUCUGUCAAGAAUGUGGAUGGGUAGUAAGGAGGGCACGUAUUGCAUGGUGCACUGCGUGUUAUAUGCAACUAAUGAAUCAUCGAACUUUACAUUAGAAACCAGGGAUGUCCUGUAUGGUGACUAACAUAAUAUAAUAAAAAAAAAUUAAAAAAAGAAUGUGGGUAAACAAACAUAAAGUGCAUUCUCAAACUAAAGUGGCUCUUAAUAAUUGGGCUGGGACCAUAAGUCACUAUGUUGUCUUUAGUUAAGGAACUUAUGAAAACAAGAAGAAGAGGAAAAGAAAGAGCCUUCUUGGCUAGCAGUCUACUUAUCUUGCAAAUCAAUCUGAGUUAAAGCCAAAAGAAAAGGUGAGGCACGUGAUGUGACUCAGCCUGGGGACACGCAGGUGUAAGUCCAGCCGAACCCACAGCCAUAUUUCAGCUCCUUCCAGGGUGACCAUUACAGAACGUCCUUGGGUGAUGCCCAUGGAAGCUGGGUUAAGGAAGGAGAUGGAGAACAGAGAAGCCAUGUCCCUUUAUUCAUUGUUCAGCACAUCCUUCGUCCUCAGAGGCAUUCUCAAUCCCGGGCAGCUGCCCAGGUGCCUUCUAGUUGUGAACGGUCUUGAAAGAUUUAGAGUCUUCCAGAUGGAUCUCUGUAAUGCACCCCGAAAUGGAUACUCCCUAAAGGCUCCCCAAAUCUGUUGGUGUCAAAAAAGAACCCGGCAUUUGGUGACUGUGAGUAAUGCUGAUCAUUUACAGAGCUUACGAGGUGGGACCAGCCACUCUUUGGGUGUGUAAAAUGUCUUAUUUUCUCUGCCUGACUCUGAGUUCCUUGAAGAUACGUCCCUUUCAUCUCUCUAUUUGCCAUAUAGCCCAAACCCAUGCUGAUGCAUGCUGAUUUCGUUUCCUUCCCUGAUAAACAAAAGAACCCAAAUUACAGCUGUUGACUCUUUGCUUGCUGCGUGACUGUUAAAUUCUAUUUUUCCCAGCACUUUCUUUUGUACAGCUGAAAAUAUGGCUUUGCUCACACACGAGGGGAGACAGAUCAGCUCACACCACUAGGGGAGACACAUCAGUUGAUAACCUACAGCGAUACCUUCUGCCUGCAUUUUUCAGGAAUGAUACGUGCUUUCAGGGAUGACCGUGUCGUUGCUAUGAUGAAUCCUCUCUUGCUUUUGUCUUUUCUUCAGAGACAGGAUUUAUACUUAUAUGUCUACACUCUACCCCUUUCUCCCUAAGAUUUAUGGGCAGGUGUGAGUCAGCUGACCACAGAGGGUGGUGUUUCCGUAGUUGGGACAGAGAGAGAUUCCCUGGAAUGCAUGGGGCCAUCCCAUGGUGCUAAUGUGGUUUUGUGCAAAUGGUGUAGCUGAAUCAUGUGGGAUGGGUCAAGGGCUGCUGGACAUGAACUUGAGUCCCUCCCUGGCACUGAUCGUUCACAGGCUAUUUUUACCUGUGUUACGGCAGAUAAAGGAUUGUACUUGACCUCUCUUCUCUGAUUUCACUACUUGUGCUCCUCAAGCAGGAAUCACUCAAACAUACUUAUCUUCCCAAGAAAGAUUGCCCAGUCUUAUGGGCUCUGUAUGUUUCAUUAUCCUUGGCUUAGAACUCCUUUCCCCCAACCUUGUUUCCCCUACUAAUCUUUACCCUUCCUUUGAGGCUUUGCAGAGACAGCACCUUUUUUCCUAAAAACUUUGAUUCCCAAGCAAGGCUAAAGCCUGAAAAUGUGUGUUUUUAAAAACAUUGUGGUAAAAAAACAUACAAUGCAAGUUUACCCUCCUAA
Ailuropoda melanoleuca (giant panda) is the source of this 3867-nucleotide long non-coding RNA. RefSeq lists it as uncharacterized. The record is from RefSeq and is a predicted model, not a curated record. The transcript has 2 exons. NCBI's taxonomy places the organism in Eukaryota, Metazoa, Chordata, Mammalia, Carnivora, Ursidae.